AGUCGAGGGGCAGCAUGAUUUGUAGCAAUACAGAUUGAUGGCGACCGGCGCACGGGUGAGUGACGCGUAUGCAACUUACCUAUCAGAGGGGGAUAGCCCGGCGAAAGUCGGAUUAAUACCCCAUAAAACAGGGGUCCCGCAUGGGAAUAUUUGUUAAAGAUUCAUCGCUGAUAGAUAGGCAUGCGUUCCAUUAGGCAGUUGGCGGGGUAACGGCCCACCAAACCGACGAUGGAUAGGGGUUCUGAGAGGAAGGUCCCCCACAUUGGUACUGAGACACGGACCAAACUCCUACGGGAGGCAGCAGUGAGGAAUAUUGGUCAAUGGCCGAGAGGCUGAACCAGCCAAGUCGCGUGAAGGAAGAAGGAUCUAUGGUUUGUAAACUUCUUUUAUAGGGGAAUAAAGUGGAGGACGUGUCCUUUUUUGUAUGUACCCUAUGAAUAAGCAUCGGCUAACUCCGUGCCAGCAGCCGCGGUAAUACGGAGGAUGCGAGCGUUAUCCGGAUUUAUUGGGUUUAAAGGGUGCGUAGGUGGUGAUUUAAGUCAGCGGUGAAAGUUUGUGGCUCAACCAUAAAAUUGCCGUUGAAACUGGGUUACUUGAGUGUGUUUGAGGUAGGCGGAAUGCGUGGUGUAGCGGUGAAAUGCAUAGAUAUCACGCAGAACUCCGAUUGCGAAGGCAGCUUACUAAACCAUAACUGACACU
This 699-nucleotide ribosomal RNA is filed under the name uncultured bacterium. RNAcentral's name for it is "bacterial SSU rRNA". It matches the Rfam family "Bacterial small subunit ribosomal RNA", at positions 60 to 747 of the family's 1533-position model. The record is from RNAcentral.